GCCUUCGUGCUGCAGUGGUCAGCACGCUCGAUGCGUAACCGAGAGGUCCGUGGUUCGAUUCCCGGCGAAGAUG
Molecule: transfer RNA, 73 nt
Filed under: Stegodyphus mimosarum
Lineage: Eukaryota; Metazoa; Arthropoda; Arachnida; Araneae; Eresidae
Rfam family: tRNA
About the family: Transfer RNA (tRNA) molecules are approximately 80 nucleotides in length. Their secondary structure includes four short double-helical elements and three loops (D, anti-codon, and T loops).
Source: Rfam by way of RNAcentral